CUCUCGGAUAGAUUUAAGUUUUUAACCUAAUGAUGACCUUCACUUGCACUGCCAUCUCAUUGGGCAUUAGAGUUAGACUUAGUUAUAGUUACAGUAAAAACAUAUACAAAUUCAACACUAACAUUUGUGUGUUUCUUUGUCAAGAAGAGGUGGCCCAAACGAUCUGGAAGGCUGUUUUUGUCCAAGCUGUGGUUGUUGCACUUCAGCAUCUAGCUAGCUAUUGGUACAGAAGAAGAGCUAGCAUAAGUGGGGUAACAUUUUUAAGUUUCAGCGUGAACGAAGUAAGAAAGACUACUGGAGAGGAAGAAGAAAGAUUAUAUUUAAAGCUCCAGAGGUGAUCUGAGCCUUUGGGGACCUUCUCCAUCCUUCCCGGCCCACUCACUAGCUCCCCGCCUGGGCUUCACUGGCUCUGCUGGACCCCUGGAUGGAGGUACAAGCCACAGGAGGAGAGGAAGAAGACAAGAGCCCAUGGCAAUGAUGAUGAGCUGCGCCGGGUCUCUGAGUUCAGUCAUCCAGCAGCCUUUAUCCAGCCUUCCAACCACCCACCCUUGCUUCCAUCUGAAAAAGGGAAAAUAGAGAGUGUUUUUCAAAAUCUCACCUUUGGCAUUCAGCAUCCCUCUGCUCAAUGCAAAUGCAAAUGCAAACACUAACACUUUGAUUAAAAAUACGUGGGAAGAAAACGCCAACUUGCUCUUUUGUAACCCGCCCCAAGGCUCCCACUGCUGUACAGAAACAAAUAAAAAUUCUCAACAUGCUGUAUGAAACACAGAAGCAUCAAUUUCUGUUCGUUUUUCUAAAAUGUUA
This is a long non-coding RNA of Oreochromis aureus, 804 nucleotides long. The record is from Ensembl. NCBI's taxonomy places the organism in Eukaryota, Metazoa, Chordata, Actinopteri, Cichliformes, Cichlidae.